UAGGGAAUCUUCCGCAAUGGGCGAAAGCCUGACGGAGCAACGCCGCGUGAGUGAUGAAGGUCUUCGGAUCGUAAAACUCUGUUAUUAGGGAAGAACAAAUGUGUAAGUAACUAUGCACGUCUUGACGGUACCUAAUCAGAAAGCCACGGCUAACUACGUGCCAGCAGCCGCGGUAAUACGUAGGUGGCAAGCGUUAUCCGGAAUUAUUGGGCGUAAAGCGCGCGUAGGCGGUUUUUUAAGUCUGAUGUGAAAGCCCACGGCUCAACCGUGGAUGGUCAUUGGAAACUGGAAAACUGGAGUGCAGAAGAGGAAAGUGGAAUUCCAUGUGUAGCGGUGAAAUGCGCAGAGAUAUGGAGGAACACCAGUGGCGAAGGCGACUUUCUGGUCUGUAACUGACGCUAAUGUGCGAAAGCGUGGGGAUCAAACAGG
This 429-nucleotide ribosomal RNA is filed under the name Actinomycetes bacterium. RNAcentral describes it as "Actinobacteria bacterium partial 16S ribosomal RNA". It matches the Rfam family "Bacterial small subunit ribosomal RNA", at positions 355 to 776 of the family's 1533-position model. Lineage: Bacteria; Bacillati; Actinomycetota; Actinomycetes. The record is from RNAcentral.